RNAcentral lists this ribosomal RNA (486 nucleotides) under uncultured bacterium. Its description in RNAcentral is "bacterial SSU rRNA". It matches the Rfam family "Bacterial small subunit ribosomal RNA", at positions 28 to 507 of the family's 1533-position model. The record is from RNAcentral.
GAUGAACGCUAGCUACAGGCUUAACACAUGCAAGUCGAGGGGCAGCGCAGUGUAGCAAUACACGGGCGGCGACCGGCGCACGGGUGCGUAACGCGUAUCCGACCUUCCCGUUACUCGGGGAUAGCCUUCCGAAAGGGAGAUUAAUACUCGAUGGUGUUGAAAUUCCGCAUGUUAUUUCAACUAAAGAUUCAUCGGUAACGGAUGGGGAUGCGUGACAUUAGGUAGAUGGCGGGGUAACGGCCCACCAUGCCCACGAUGUCUAGGGGUUCUGAGAGGAAGGUCCCCCACACUGGAACUGAGACACGGUCCAGACUCCUACGGGAGGCAGCAGUGAGGAAUAUUGGUCAAUGGCCGGAAGGCUGAACCAGCCAAGUAGCGUGAAGGAUGAAGGUUCUAUGGAUUGUAAACUUCUUUUAUACGGGAAUAAAACCACCUACGUGUAGGUGCUUGUAUGUACCGUAUGAAUAAGCAUCGGCUAACUCCGUG